AGUAACACGUGAGCAACCUGCCUUUCAGAGGGGGAUAACAGUUGGAAACGACUGCUAAUACCGCAUAACGCUGCGAUGGGGCAUCCCGAUGCAGCCAAAGGAGCAAUCCGCUGGAAGAUGGGCUCGCGGCCGAUUAGCUAGUUGGUGGGGCAACGGCCCACCAAGGCGACGAUCGGUAGCCGGACUGAGAGGGUGAACGGCCACAUUGGGACUGAGACACGGCCCAAACUCCUACGGAAGGCAGCAG
Molecule: ribosomal RNA, 247 nt
Filed under: uncultured bacterium
Lineage: Bacteria
Description: partial 16S ribosomal RNA
Rfam family: Bacterial small subunit ribosomal RNA
Source: RNAcentral